RNAcentral lists this unclassified non-coding RNA (520 nucleotides) under uncultured Entrophospora. Its description in RNAcentral is "SSU rRNA". It matches the Rfam family "Eukaryotic small subunit ribosomal RNA", at positions 569 to 1081 of the family's 1831-position model. The record is from RNAcentral. Lineage: Eukaryota; Fungi; Glomeromycota; Glomeromycetes; Entrophosporales; Entrophosporaceae.
AGCAGCCGCGGUAAUUCCAGCUCCAAUAGCGUAUAUUAAAGUUGUUGCAGUUAAAAAGCUCGUAGUUGAAUUUCGGGAUUGACACAUCGGUCGUGCCUUAAGGGGUAUGAACUGGUGUAGUCAAUUUCUCACCUUCUGGAGAACCGCGAUGCCCUUAAUUGGGUGUCGCGGGGAACCAGGACCUUUACUUUGAAAAAAUUUAGAGUGUUUAAAGCAGGCAUUUUGCUUGAAUACAUUAGCAUGGAAUAAUAAAAUAGGACGGCAUGAUUCUAUUUUGUUGGUUUCUAGGAUCACCGUAAUGAUUAAUAGGGAUAGUUGGGGGCAUUAGUAUUCAAUUGUCAGAGGUGAAAUUCUUGGAUUUAUUGAAGACUAACUACUGCGAAAGCAUUUGCCAAGGAUGUUUUCAUUAAUCAAGAACGAAAGUUAGGGGAUCGAAGACGAUCAGAUACCGUCGUAGUCUUAACCAUAAACUAUGCCGACUAGGAAUCAGACGAUGUUAAUUUUUUUCAAUGACUCGUUU